This 417-nucleotide long non-coding RNA is filed under the name Anser brachyrhynchus (Pink-footed goose). RNAcentral describes it as "lncRNA (ENSABRG00000006698.1)". The record is from RNAcentral. Lineage: Eukaryota; Metazoa; Chordata; Aves; Anseriformes; Anatidae.
CGCCCCUCUCAUACUGAAAUCCCCCUUCCCCUGAAGCAACACUAUUGUGAGGGUUUUCCCCGCAGUCUCCAGCGCGGGGCGGCUGUGAGGUGACCCGAGUCCACAAAGACGGCGACAAACACCGGCCCGAGCCGGGGUUGGGGACACAGCCGCAGCAUAUCUCCUCUAGCCAGAAGCCUCCCUCCAUAGGCUGAGUGAUUCUAGUUUCCCUUGUCAGUCACCACAAUGACAGAAGGAGGUAGGAGAACAAGGUUUAAAAUGGUAGCUACGUUCUGACACUAUUAGCAUACUGGACUAAUCAUCUAGGUAUGUUUUUAAAUCUGGGAGAUUGGUAGCAAAUGUGGAGAAAGAACAGGAGAGAGAUGUUAGCCACUUACCCUGUAAUCAGCACAGAUUAAAAAGAGCAAAAGACGGUAA